UUUGGUUAAGUUAGAAAGGGCGCACGGUGGAUGCCUUGACACUAGGAGUCGAUGAAGGACGGGACUAACGCCGAUAUGCUUCGGGGAGCUGUAAGUAAGCUUUGAUCCGAAGAUUUCCGAAUGGGGAAACCCACCAUACGUAAUGGUAUGGUAUCCUUAUCUGAAUACAUAGGGUAAGGAAGACAGACCCAGGGAACUGAAACAUCUAAGUACCUGGAGGAAGAGAAAGCAAAUGCGAUUUCCUGAGUAGCGGCGAGCGAAACGGAACAUAGCCCAAACCAAGAGGCUUGCCUCUUGGGGUUGUAGGACAUUCUAUACGGAGUUACAAAGGAACGAGGUAGACGAAGCGACCUGGAAAGGUCCGUCGUAGAGGGUAACAACCCCGUAGUCGAAACUUCGUUCUCUCUUGAAUGUAUCCUGAGUACGGCGGAACACGUGAAAUUCCGUCGGAAUCUGGGAGGACCAUCUCCCAAGGCUAAAUACUCCCUAGUGAUCGAUAGUGAACCAGUACCGUGAGGGAAAGGUGAAAAGCACCCCGGAAGGGGAGUGAAAGAGAUCCUGAAACCGUGUGCCUACAAAUAGUCAGAGCCCGUUAAUGGGUGAUGGCGUGCCUUUUGUAGAAUGAACCGGCGAGUUACGAUCCCGUGCGAGGUUAAGCUGAAGAGGCGGAGCCGCAGCGAAAGCGAGUCUGAAUAGGGCGUUUAGUACGUGGUCGUAGACCCGAAACCAGGUGAUCUACCCAUGUCCAGGGUGAAGUUCAGGUAACACUGAAUGGAGGCCCGAACCCACGCACGUUGAAAAGUGCGGGGAUGAGGUGUGGGUAGCGGAGAAAUUCCAAUCGAACCUGGAGAUAGCUGGUUCUCCCCGAAAUAGCUUUAGGGCUAGCCUUAAGUGUAAGAGUCUUGGAGGUAGAGCACUGAUUGGACUAGGGGUCCUCAUCGGAUUACCGAAUUCAGUCAAACUCCGAAUGCCAAUGACUUAUCCUUAGGAGUCAGACUGCGAGUGAUAAGAUCCGUAGUCAAAAGGGAAACAGCCCAGACCGCCAGCUAAGGUCCCAAAGUGUGUAUUAAGUGGAAAAGGAUGUGGAGUUGCUUAGACAACUAGGAUGUUGGCUUAGAAGCAGCCACCAUUUAAAGAGUGCGUAAUAGCUCACUAGUCGAGUGACUCUGCGCCGAAAAUGUACCGGGGCUAAAUACACCACCGAAGCUGCGGAUUGAUACCGAAUGGGAUCAGUGGUAGGGGAGCGUUCUAAGGACAGUGAAGUCAGACCGUAAGGACUGGUGGAGUGCUUAGAAGUGAGAAUGCCGGUAUGAGUAGCGAAAGACGGGUGAGAAUCCCGUCCACCGAAUGCCUAAGGUUUCCUGAGGAAGGCUCGUCCGCUCAGGGUUAGUCAGGACCUAAGCCGAGGCCGACAGGCGUAGGCGAUGGACAACAGGUUGAUAUUCCUGUACCACCUCUUUAUCGUUUGAGCAAUGGAGGGACGCAGAAGGAUAGAAGAAGCGUGCGAUUGGUUGUGCACGUCCAAGCAGUUAGGCUGAUAAGUAGGCAAAUCCGCUUAUCGUGAAGGCUGAGCUGUGAUGGGGAAGCUCCUUAUGGAGCGAAGUCUUUGAUUCCCCGCUGCCAAGAAAAGCUUCUAGCGAGAUAAAAGGUGCCUGUACCGCAAACCGACACAGGUAGGCGAGGAGAGAAUCCUAAGGUGUGCGAGAGAACUCUGGUUAAGGAACUCGGCAAAAUGACCCCGUAACUUCGGGAGAAGGGGUGCUUUCUUAACGGAAAGCCGCAGUGAAUAGGCCCAAGCGACUGUUUAGCAAAAACACAGCUCUCUGCGAAGCCGUAAGGCGAAGUAUAGGGGGUGACACCUGCCCGGUGCUGGAAGGUUAAGGAGAGGGGUUAGCGUAAGCGAAGCUCUGAACUGAAGCCCCAGUAAACGGCGGCCGUAACUAUAACGGUCCUAAGGUAGCGAAAUUCCUUGUCGGGUAAGUUCCGACCCGCACGAAAGGUGUAACGAUUUGGGCACUGUCUCAACCAGAGACUCGGUGAAAUUAUAGUACCUGUGAAGAUGCAGGUUACCCGCGACAGGACGGAAAGACCCCGUGGAGCUUUACUGUAGCCUGAUAUUGAAUUUUGGUACAGUUUGUACAGGAUAGGCGGGAGCCAUUGAAACCGGAGCGCUAGCUUCGGUGGAGGCGCUGGUGGGAUACCGCCCUGACUGUAUUGAAAUUCUAACCUACGGGUCUUAUCGACCCGGGAGACAGUGUCAGGUGGGCAGUUUGACUGGGGCGGUCGCCUCCUAAAGGGUAACGGAGGCGCCCAAAGGUUCCCUCAGAAUGGUUGGAAAUCAUUCGUAGAGUGCAAAGGCAUAAGGGAGCUUGACUGCGAGACCUACAAGUCGAGCAGGGACGAAAGUCGGGCUUAGUGAUCCGGUGGUUCCGCAUGGAAGGGCCAUCGCUCAACGGAUAAAAGCUACCCCGGGGAUAACAGGCUUAUCUCCCCCAAGAGUCCACAUCGACGGGGAGGUUUGGCACCUCGAUGUCGGCUCAUCGCAUCCUGGGGCUGUAGUCGGUCCCAAGGGUUGGGCUGUUCGCCCAUUAAAGCGGUACGCGAGCUGGGUUCAGAACGUCGUGAGACAGUUCGGUCCCUAUCCGUCGUGGGCGUAGGAAAUUUGAGAGGAGCUGUCCUUAGUACGAGAGGACCGGGAUGGACGCACCGCUGGUGUACCAGUUGUUCUGCCAAGGGCAUAGCUGGGUAGCUAUGUGCGGAAGGGAUAAGUGCUGAAAGCAUCUAAGCAUGAAGCCCCCCUCAAGAUGAGAUUUCCCAUAGCGUAAGCUAGUAAGAUCCCUGAAAGAUGAUCAGGUUGAUAGGUUCGAGGUGGAAGCAUGGUGACAUGUGGAGCUGACGAAUACUAAUAGAUCGAGGACUUAACCAUAUAA
This 2930-nucleotide ribosomal RNA is filed under the name Bacillus thuringiensis. RNAcentral describes it as "23S ribosomal RNA". It matches the Rfam family "Bacterial large subunit ribosomal RNA". The record is from RNAcentral. Lineage: Bacteria; Bacillati; Bacillota; Bacilli; Caryophanales; Bacillaceae.